CCUGGAGCCUUCUUCGGCAAACUGGUAAGACAUAAACCUUCUUUUCACAUAUCAAGGUUUAUAUCUCUAGAUUUGUUUUGUGAUUCAAACAGAAUUAUUCUCUAUUGUAAUUUACAAUAGAGAGCUCGAGAUAAGAAUUGAUUAUUUUAGGGUUUAGGAGUCUCCACUUCACUUCUAUGAAUCACUAAAGACCGGGCUGAUAGAUAAACUAAACAGAGGAUUCCUCACGCUUUUUUAUUAUUUUUCAGAGUAAAUUCUCAGAAUUGUCAAAUACAUAGCGGGAGGUCCUAUCAGCCAAAUUCAAACAUAGACCUUCUACUUAUUCAUGCUUCUCAUUGUUCUAGAGUUAUUCGUGUUGCAAAACUGUGAAUAUCUCCUUUCCAUAUCUGUAGUGAGCUACAUCAAUAUCAUGAGACAUAUUCUGGAAAGGUCUCUUAUUUCAUGUAAUUUCAAAUUUGUUUUCAUAUAAUCAUCCUCGAUUUAGCUACUUCUGUCUCAUCAUCAUUGUAUUCUUUCAUAACUCGGACUCAUAUACGCUUUUCAAUUUUUUGAAAUUCUCAUUGAUUCAAGCAGUCUCAACGUACAGUCAAUGACAGAGACGAAGAAAAAGUGUUACUUUCAAAUGCAAUAUAGGAAGCCGAGCAUAGGAAGUUGUUGAAGUUGGACAUGAAGCAAAAUGAACAAAAGAGGAGCAGAAGUGGGUCACAAAUAAGUAUAAGCAGAAGGAUGAGAAAUUAAAGGCAGCAAGGAUGGGGAGGGAUCACAAUCAAAGAACCAUCAAAAAAAUAAGAAGAUAAGAAGGGCAAAAAGAAACUGGCCACUAUGAUUGAGAAACACGUGUAAGAGAAUGUUAGGCUAGAAGAGUUUCAAUCUGAUAAAUAAAUGACGCAAAGGAUGUUACUAGAAAUGAUAUGGGAGUAUUCAUGAUCACAAUACAGAAGGAUUGCCCUGAUUCUCCAAAUAUUUUCCAUAUCAGUUCCUGCGUUGGAGACUGUCUUUGAAAACCUUCCGCUUCAGAUACUGUUAUCGAAGAAGAUACCAUCUAUUCGGAAAUCUUCAGCGUGUGUGAAUGAUUACCAAAAUAAGCUUCCCCUGAACUUAUCUCUUAAAUAUAAAGAGCCAUUAUGUAGUGUAGAUGAACAUUUAGAUGAUGAUUACAUUUGUUGAAUUAAGCUUGCAGAGGAAUUGAAUGUUGAUGGAGUAUUGGAGAACUGGGGAAGGAUUAAGCAGGUAUCAUGGAAGCUUGGGAUGGGGAAGUUAGAGAAGAUUUGAUUAAAAAGUACUUGACAAUUCGGUUUGGUGUCAGUAGGAUGUAUGAUUGUUUAGGUAAAAAUAAUUUGUUUGUUGUUUUGGUGUCUAGGUAUAUAAUAACUUUUUGUUGAUCUGUGACAGUAUAGUAUCAAUUCUUCAAUAUUUAGAUUAACCGAAUUCAAUUAUUGAUGGAU
Molecule: long non-coding RNA, 1445 nt
Organism: Raphanus sativus (radish)
Lineage: Eukaryota; Viridiplantae; Streptophyta; Magnoliopsida; Brassicales; Brassicaceae
Exons: 4
Source: RefSeq, a predicted model, not a curated record